CCUACGGGGGGCAGCAGUGGGGAAUAUUGGACAAUGGGCGAAAGCCUGAUCCAGCCAUGCCGCGUGUGUGAAGAAGGCCUUCGGGUUGUAAAGCACUUUCAGUGGGGAAGAAAGCCUUGGGGCUAAUACCCUCGAGGAAGGACAUCACCCACAGAAGAAGCACCGGCUAACUCCGUGCCAGCAGCCGCGGUAAUACGGAGGGUGCGAGCGUUAAUCGGAAUUACUGGGCGUAAAGCGCGCGUAGGCGGUCUGAUAAGCCGGUUGUGAAAGCCCCGGGCUCAACCUGGGAACGGCAUCCGGAACUGUCAGGCUAGAGUGCAGGAGAGGAAGGUAGAAUUCCCGGUGUAGCGGUGAAAUGCGUAGAGAUCGGGAGGAAUACCAGUGGCGAAGGCGGCCUUCUGGACUGACACUGACGCUGAGGUGCGAAAGCGUGGGUAGCAAACAGGACUAGAUACCCUGGUAGUC
RNAcentral lists this ribosomal RNA (465 nucleotides) under Vreelandella stevensii. Its description in RNAcentral is "partial 16S ribosomal RNA". It matches the Rfam family "Bacterial small subunit ribosomal RNA", at positions 338 to 795 of the family's 1533-position model. The record is from RNAcentral. Lineage: Bacteria; Pseudomonadati; Pseudomonadota; Gammaproteobacteria; Oceanospirillales; Halomonadaceae.